CGAGUGGCGGACGGGUGAGUAAUGUCUGGGAAACUGCCUGAUGGAGGGGGGAUAACUACUGGAAACGGUAGCUAAUACCGCAUAACGUCGCAAGACCAAAGAGGGGGACCUUCGGGCCUCUUGCCAUCGGAUGUGCCCAGAUGGGAUUAGCUAGUAGGUGGGGUAACGGCUCACCUAGGCGACGAUCCCUAGCUGGUCUGAGAGGAUGACCAGCCACACUGGAACUGAGACACGGUCCAGACUCCUACGGGAGGCAGCAUG
Molecule: ribosomal RNA, 261 nt
Filed under: uncultured bacterium
Lineage: Bacteria
Description: partial 16S ribosomal RNA
Rfam family: Bacterial small subunit ribosomal RNA
Source: RNAcentral